This is an RNA transcript of Panicum virgatum (switchgrass), 3520 nucleotides long. RefSeq lists it as uncharacterized. The record is from RefSeq and is a predicted model, not a curated record. The transcript has 12 exons. NCBI's taxonomy places the organism in Eukaryota, Viridiplantae, Streptophyta, Magnoliopsida, Poales, Poaceae.
UCCGCAUAACCAGAUUAAAGAAACAUACUCCACCCCAGCACAUAUAGGAGUAUUCUGGACCACUCGUUUGAAAUCAAAACAAUUGCUGUUGGGGGACGAUGCUCUCUCGAGGUCUGCUGCUCUUUCCAUGGCGGAUCCGUAUCCAGAAGCGCGUGACCCCGGAGGAAACGAUGCUGUGGAGAGCACCGACGUCUAGAUCCAGAAGCGCAUGACCCCAGAGGACUUUGGGGUGCCGUGGAAGCAAGCCGUUCAGGGACCAGGGGUGUCUCCUACCCUUGACUUGAGGUGGAAUAUUUGAGUACAGGCUCAUCUAGUUUGGUUGGAUCCCGCGGAUUUCCAAACAAUAUGAAAUCAAUGGACCUCAAUCGUUGCGCAGAUAGUGGGCAAAGCAUGAGGAACAGUGACAUGGGGAGUGCAUGCCUAGCUGAUGGGAGUUUGAGCAUUUCGUCAAGAGCUUGCUUUGAUCAAUGUUUGUUACGUUGGCAUGUGGGUUGUUCGCAUAUUAGUAUGAGCCGUCCAAUAAAAUUCAAUGGGUUUGGCUGCUGUGUGGAUGAUGGUAGCCUGCUUGAUGAUAAUAGCUUGGUCAGGGGGUCUUUUGGAUGGAGAUGCGGUGUCUGUAAGCUGGAACAGGUAAGAAUCUACCUGCCAAACUGGUUGCGGUGCACAUAGUGUUGUGCAGGCUUAGCCCAUAUGUUAUUGUUGGGUGGAUUUUGUUUUGCACAGUUCCAAUAAUGCAAAUCAAAAUAUGAAUGAUGACAUUGCUGAAUCAAGACUGUAUGAGGUGAGGGAUCAAGGUGGAAACAAUGUCAAUCCUGGGGCCAUUCAAAGAUUAAACUGUAAAGAAAAUAUUGUGAUUGAUCUGAACAUUGUGCCUACUCAAAGCUCGGAGGUUUUCGAACCAGAAUAUCAGACCAAUGAAGAUCUAAGUAUUGUUGGUGAAUCAAUUGUACAAGUGCCUGAACCAUCUCGUACUGCUGUUGGCUGAAAAAAAAAGAAACACGGCAACCAACAGACCUGACCACCGGCAACCAACAUAAAAAUGUAGAGCGAGCGCACUGCAGCAGGCGUUGAUGAAGUUUGCAGAUAGGACAACAUAUUACAUUAUCAAUCCCGCAGUAGGAACUGAAUUUGAUGAUCUACAGAAAGCAUACGAAUAUUACAACCUGUACUCAUGGGAGUGUGGUUUUGGCAUACGGAAAGGGGAAAACGGUACUCUAAUAACCGUGUAAAUAGGAAACUACCAGAUGAUGAAAGAUAUCAGCUUGGUCAAGAAUUCAAUUGCAGUUGCGGGGGAAAGCCAGGAGAUAAUUUGAAGACAACUUCCAGCAAGACAGAAUGCCCGACAUUGCUAUGGCUAAGCAGAACAGGUAACAAUGGAUGGGUUGUAGUAGCACAUGUUUCCGAGCAUAACCAUGCCCUCUCAAACUCUUACGGAGAAAAAAAGCAAUGGCCAUCACAUUACCACUUGGACAAGUACACCAAAGAGCUAGUUAGGAUGUUGAGGGAAAAUAAUGUUGGAAUAACUAAGCUUUACAGUAUAUUGGGAAAUUUCUUUGGUUCAAUGGAAAAGGUGCCAACAACAAAACGAUCAUUGAAGAACUUGUGUCAGAAAAUUAACCGUGAGUAAGCUGAGGAUGACAUAAAGAAGACAUUAGAUUUGUUUAGUGAGUUAAGGAAAUCUGAUCCUGGUUUCAUGUUUAGUGUUGAUCCUGAUGAAGAUGGUAGAAUCAAAACUCUGUUAUGGACAAAUGGUCGUAGCAGGAUGCAGUGUGAGCAUUUUGGAGAUUUAAUAACAUUUGACACUACUUACAAGACAAAUCUGUAUGGGAUGCCAUUUGGGCUAUUUGUAGGAGUCAACAAUCAUUUCCAGAGUGUACUUUUUGGUGGGGUGCUGAUGACAGAUGAGAAAAUAGAUAGUUUCAAGUGGGUAUUCAGAGAGUUUGUUAAUCUUAUGGGUGGCAAAACACCAGCGACUGUGCUAACAGAUCAAUGCCGGGCGAUGGAGGUAGCAAUCGCUGAAGAAUGGAAAGACACUAUCCAUCGAUGGAGCAAGUGGCAUGUCUUGCGACGAGUUAGAGAAUGUGUUGGACCUAAGUAUGCACAGAUACGUGAAUUCCGUGAUGAAUUUCAUAAGAUGCUCAAUGAAAUGUUGACAAUUGAUGAAUUUGAAAAAGCUUGGCAGCAAUUGUUAAUUAAAUAUGGGUUGACAACUAACCCUUUCCUUCAACAAGUGUAUGAGACACGACACAUGUGGGUUAAGAGUUACUUCAAAGGUGUGUUUUGUGCUAGAAUGACAAGCACACAACGUAGUGAGAGUGCAAAUCACAUGUUGAAGAACCUGGUUCAGCCUAAUUGCCCUCUUCAUCAGUUUAUUCAGCAGUAUAAUAAGUUGCAAUACAUCCGUGAUGAAGAAGAGAAUUACUAAGAAAAAAAUCAAGACUGAACAAGAAAUGCAAGAAGACUGGAGGGCCGCUAGUGAUGGAGGCCCACCAGAUUUACACACCAAAUGUAUUCAAUCUAUUUUGUGAAUUGAAGGAGUCUGAAUUCUACAAAGCAAUAGAACAAAUUCCAGGUGAAGAGUAUGUUACUGAGCAUUAUGAGCUUUGUCGCGUACAGCGUUGGUGCAAAGGAUCUUACAAAGUGAGAAUUUCAUCUGGUGGUAGUAAAUAUGAUUGUGAGUGUGGACUCUUUGAACAUUUUGGUUUACCAUGUAGCCAUAUCUUACGGGUUCUGAUCAGCACAGGGGUGCAAAAAAUUCCUGAGAGUCUGGUGAUGAAGAGAUGGACUAAGAAAGCAAGACUUGAUACAGCAGGACACCUUGCUGAAUACAGAAAAGAAAAUCCAGCUAUACAAUCGUUGACUUACCGUCAUUCAUCUCUUAUGGUUAGGGUCCUUCAAUUUGUUGAGAUGGGAGACAACAAUGUGGAGAGCUAUAAGAUGGCUAUGGACAUUAUUGAGUCAGGCAUAACAGCACUAUAUAAGUAAGGUGAAGGAUGGAAUGGGUUUGGGUCAUGCACAAGAAGCAGAAACAGAAGAUGUAGAUAAUGUGAAAUUUGAUAAUUUCCCACAAAGAGUGCCAAGGAAGAAAAAUGAGCGUGGUAGGCCAACAAAUAAGAGGGACAAACCAGCUUAUGAAGUUGGAAGCAAACAUCCCUGAUUUUGCAGCAUUUGCAAGAGUGACAGCCACACUAAGCAAAGUUGUCCAGAUCGGGAUCCAGCAACAAAAAAGCCGAGGAGGCCACCAACAUGUACGGGUUGCGGCCUGUUUGGUCAUAAAAUCCAGAAAUGUAAAGGCAAUGCACAGGAGCCCGCUGUUGUUGCCAACAUAUUCGUGUAGAAGCGGCACCGAAAUAUUGAUGCUCAUUUUAUUGUGGUACUUUGUGUACUUGUAGUGAUCUUGCGAGUAUUUGAUGUUGAACUGGUACAUGACCAUUUCGUGUGUAUAUAAGAUGAUGCUCUAUGUUGAACUCGUACAUGAAUAUUUUGUGUGUACAUAUAAGAUGAUGCUCUAUGUUGCUUA